RNAcentral lists this long non-coding RNA (792 nucleotides) under Homo sapiens (human). RNAcentral describes it as "long non-coding RNA NONHSAT034476.2". The record is from RNAcentral. Lineage: Eukaryota; Metazoa; Chordata; Mammalia; Primates; Hominidae.
GGAGGAGAAGCCACAGAACCCUGGGACCUCCGUUCACCGCUUCGGCCUCCACCGCAGGCACUUGGGGAAACUGCACAGAUCUCUGGGUCCGCCUAUCUCCCACUGCCAUCCCUGCAAAGAGAUAUCCCCCGGAUACUCACAUGGGCUCGAGAGUCUUGCUGAGCCAGGACUUGAGUGCCUCGAAGUUUUCAAUGAUCAUUUUAGAAACCAUCCACAGCGGCCCUAAGGCCCGUCACACUCCUCCGCCCGCCCAGGUCGCGGCCGCUACAGCCGCCGCUGCCCCCGCCCCCUCCUCCGCGCGCCGCCCGCGUGGGCCGCGGUGGGAGGCGCCGGUGGCAGGUUCCCGCGGGCCCCGGUCGGCGAACAGCUCUGCAAGGACCGCCGCAGGCCACAAGUGCACGGGGUGCCAGGAGCUCCCCGUCCCCGGCCCCCAGCCCGGGCUGAAACAGCAACGGUUUGCCCGGGCCCUCCCCCUUCCCUCUUCCCCAGCAAAUCUACCCAGACCGGAAGCGCGACACGCGCUUAGACCCGAGCCUUCUCUCAGCCUCGGGACCAGGUGCUUGUUGGCUACGUCGAAAAGGCAAAAGUAAAGAAAGCGAAGGCGAAGGGCAGCUCAAUGGGAACGAUUCAGGGGGUCUUCCCGGCUCCCAGCACCCCCAAGAAGAUGGCUGCCGGUAAAUCUCGCGAGAAUUGAUGAAGUCUCGCGGUGGCUCCCGGAGCCUGCUGGGAGAGACGUAAGGUAAUUCAAGAGGAAACGCUUGAGCAAUUACUGAUGUUGUAAACUGGGAUCAG